This 497-nucleotide ribosomal RNA is filed under the name uncultured bacterium. RNAcentral's name for it is "partial 16S ribosomal RNA". It matches the Rfam family "Bacterial small subunit ribosomal RNA", at positions 28 to 507 of the family's 1533-position model. The record is from RNAcentral.
GACGAACGCUGGCGGCGUGCCUAAUACAUGCAAGUCGAGCGCUGAAGGCUGGUACUUGUACCAACUGGAUGAGCAGCGCACGGGUGAGUAACGCGUGGGGCCUCUGCUUUUGAGCGGGGGACAACAUUUGGAAACGAAUGCUAAUACCGCAUAAACACUUGAAACACAAGUUUUAAGUUUGAAAGAUGCAAUUGCAUCACUCAAAGAUGAUCUCGCGUUGUAUUAGCUAGUUGGUGAGGUAAAGGCUCACCAAGGCGAGGACACAUAGCCGACCUGAGAGGACGAGCAGCCACAUUGGGAGGGAGACACGCCCCAAACGCCUACGGGAGGCAGCAGGAGGGAAACGGCGGCAAGGGGCGGAAGACUGACCGAGAAACGCCGCGGGAGGGAAGAAGGAUGUCGGGUCGGGAAUGUCGGUUGGUAGAGAAGAAAGUUGGUGAGAGUGGAAAGCUCAGCAAGUGACGGUAACUACCCAGAAAGGGACGGCUAACUACGUG